GUUCCAUUGGCUUAGUGGUUGUAGAGUCCGCUUCAGAUGCAGGAGGUUGCGGGUUUGAACCCCGUACGAAAUCA
Potamilus streckersoni is the source of this 74-nucleotide non-coding RNA. The record is from the annotation of a GenBank genome assembly. NCBI's taxonomy places the organism in Eukaryota, Metazoa, Mollusca, Bivalvia, Unionida, Unionidae.